RNAcentral lists this ribosomal RNA (253 nucleotides) under uncultured bacterium. RNAcentral describes it as "partial 16S ribosomal RNA". It matches the Rfam family "Bacterial small subunit ribosomal RNA", at positions 524 to 776 of the family's 1533-position model. The record is from RNAcentral.
UACGGGGGGGGCAAGCGUUGUUCGGAAUUACUGGGCGUAAAGGGCUCGUAGGCGGCCAACUAAGUCGGAUGUGAAAUCCCCAGGCUUAACCUGGGAACUGCAUCCGAUACUGACGAGCUAGAGUUCUGGAGGGGGUAGCGGAAUUCCUGGUGUAGCGGUGAAAUGCGUAGAUAUCAGGAGGAACACCGGUGGCGAAGGCGGCUACCUGGACAGAGUCUGACGCUGAGGCACGAAAGCUAGGGGAGCAAACAGG